Molecule: non-coding RNA, 342 nt
Filed under: Fragilariopsis cylindrus
Lineage: Eukaryota; Bacillariophyta; Bacillariophyceae; Bacillariales; Bacillariaceae
Source: RNAcentral
UGGAGCUGAUGGGAAUUGAACCCACGUCCAUUUAAACUUUUUUAAUAUACUUUUUUCACAAGCAUAGUUCUGAAGAACAAAAUAGAUUUUUAGUUUAGUCUAAACUAUAUGACAUAAAAUGUCUAAUAAUAGUGAUAAAAUAUUGGAACAAAAUAAUUAUUACACAGCAAAUUUUAAUAAAUUUGACUGAUUAGUUUUAUAAAUAGAAUUUAUAAAAGUUGAAACGGAUAAAAUUAAAUUUUUAGCAGUUAUUUUAAGUUUUUAUAUUUUUUUUCGAAGAUUAUAAACUUCGACUUGAUUCGUAUAUUAAUAAAAUUUAGAUGUCGAAACCAAAGCAGCCCC